Molecule: ribosomal RNA, 425 nt
Filed under: uncultured bacterium
Lineage: Bacteria
Description: bacterial SSU rRNA
Rfam family: Bacterial small subunit ribosomal RNA
Source: RNAcentral
GUGGGGAAUCUUAGACAAUGGGCGCAAGCCUGAUCUAGCCAUGCCGCGUGAGCGAUGAAGGCCUUAGGGUUGUAAAGCUCUUUCAGGGGGGAAGAUAAUGACGGUACCCCCAGAAGAAGCCCCGGCUAACUCCGUGCCAGCAGCCGCGGUAAUACGGAGGGGGCUAGCGUUGUUCGGAAUUACUGGGCGUAAAGCGCACGUAGGCGGACCAGAAAGUCAGGGGUGAAAUCCCGGGGCUCAACCCCGGAACUGCCUUUGAAACUCCUGGUCUUGAGGUCGAGAGAGGUGAGUGGAAUUCCGAGUGUAGAGGUGAAAUUCGUAGAUAUUCGGAGGAACACCAGUGGCGAAGGCGGCUCACUGGCUCGAUACUGACGCUGAGGUGCGAAAGCGUGGGGAGCAAACAGGAUUAGAUACCCCUGUAGUCC